ACAUUUAGUUGGGCACUCUAAUGAGACUGCCGGUGACAAACCGGAGGAAGGUGGGGAUGACGUCAAGUCCUCAUGGCCCUUAUAGGUGGGGCUACACACGUCAUACAAUGGCUGGUACAAAGGGUUGCCAACCCGCGAGGGGGAGCUAAUCCCAUAAAACCAGUCGUAGUCCGGAUCGCAGUCUGCAACUCGACUGCGUGAAGUCGGAAUCGCUAGUAAUCGUGGAUCAGAAUGUCACGGUGAAUACGUUCCCGGGUCUU
RNAcentral lists this ribosomal RNA (260 nucleotides) under uncultured Pseudomonadota bacterium. RNAcentral's name for it is "uncultured proteobacterium partial 16S ribosomal RNA". It matches the Rfam family "Bacterial small subunit ribosomal RNA", at positions 1121 to 1382 of the family's 1533-position model. The record is from RNAcentral. Lineage: Bacteria; Pseudomonadati; Pseudomonadota.